UACGGAGGGUGCAAGCGUUGUUCGGAAUCAUUGGGCGUAAAGCGCGUGUAGGCGGCUUGGCAAGUCGGGUGUGAAAUCCCGGGGCUCAACCCCGGAACUGCAUUCGAAACUGCCUCGCUAGAGUCACGGAGAGGAAGGCGGAAUUCCCGGUGUAGAAGUGAAAUUCGUAGAUAUCGGGAGGAACACCAGCGGCGAAGGCGGCCUUCUGGACGAUGGCUGACGCUGAGACGCGAAAGCGUGGGGAGCAGACAGG
This 253-nucleotide ribosomal RNA is filed under the name uncultured bacterium. Its description in RNAcentral is "partial 16S ribosomal RNA". It matches the Rfam family "Bacterial small subunit ribosomal RNA", at positions 524 to 776 of the family's 1533-position model. The record is from RNAcentral.